This 682-nucleotide ribosomal RNA is filed under the name Salmonella enterica subsp. enterica serovar Enteritidis. RNAcentral's name for it is "partial 23S ribosomal RNA". It matches the Rfam family "Bacterial large subunit ribosomal RNA", at positions 587 to 1269 of the family's 2925-position model. The record is from RNAcentral. Lineage: Bacteria; Pseudomonadati; Pseudomonadota; Gammaproteobacteria; Enterobacterales; Enterobacteriaceae.
UUGGGUGUGACUGCGUACCUUUUGUAUAAUGGGUCAGCGACUUAUAUUCUGUAGCAAGGUUAACCGAAUAGGGGAGCCGGAGGGAAACCGAGUCUUAAUUGGGCGUUAAGUUGCAGGGUAUAGACCCGAAACCCGGUGAUCUAGCCAUGGGCAGGUUGAAGGUUGGGUAACACUAACUGGAGGACCGAACCGACUAAUGUUGAAAAAUUAGCGGAUGACCUGUGGCUGGGGGUGAAAGGCCAAUCAAACCGGGAGAUAGCUGGUUCUCCCCGAAAGCUAUUUAGGUAGCGCCUCGUGAAUUCAUCUCCGGGGGUAGAGCACUGUUUCGGCUAGGGGGCCAUCCCGGCUUACCAACCCGAUGCAAACUGCGAAUACCGGAGAAUGUUAUCACGGGAGACACACGGCGGGUGCUAACGUCCGUCGUGAAGAGGGAAACAACCCAGACCGCCAGCUAAGGUCCCAAAGUCAUGGUUAAGUGGGAAACGAUGUGGGAAGGCCCAGACAGCCAGGAUGUUGGCUUAGAAGCAGCCAUCAUUUAAAGAAAGCGUAAUAGCUCACUGGUCGAGUCGGCCUGCGCGGAAGAUGUAACGGGGCUAAACCAUGCACCGAAGCUGCGGCAGCGACACUGUGUGUUGUUGGGUAGGGGAGCGUUCUGUAAGCCUGUGAAGGUGUGUCGUGAGGC